RNAcentral lists this ribosomal RNA (427 nucleotides) under uncultured bacterium. RNAcentral's name for it is "partial 16S ribosomal RNA". It matches the Rfam family "Bacterial small subunit ribosomal RNA", at positions 355 to 774 of the family's 1533-position model. The record is from RNAcentral.
UAGGGAAUCUUCCGCAAUGGGCGAAAGCCUGACGGAGCAACGCCGCGUGAGUGAAGAAGGUCUUCGGAUCGUAAAACUCUGUUAUUAGGGAAGAACAAAUGUGUAAGUAACUAUGCACGUCUUGACGGUACCUAAUCAGAAAGCCACGGCUAACUACGUGCCAGCAGCCGCGGUAAUACGUAGGGGGCAAGCGUUAUCCGGAAUUAUUGGGCGUAAAGCGCGCGUAGGCGGUUUUUUAAGUCUGAUUUGAAAGCCCACGGCUCAACCGUGGAGGGUCAUUGGAAACUGGAAAACUUGAGUGCAGAAGAGGAAAGUGGAAUUCCAUGUGUAGCGGUGAAAUGCGCAGAGAUAUGGAGGAACACCAGUGGCGAAGGCGACUUUCUGGUCUGUAACUGACGCUGAUGUGCGAAAGCGUGGGGAUCAAACA